CGGAAUGUGGCUCAGUUUGAUAGAGCGUCGCAUUUGGGAUGCGAAGGUCGCAGGUUCAAAUCCUGUCAUUCCGA
This 74-nucleotide transfer RNA is filed under the name Paludibacteraceae bacterium. Its description in RNAcentral is "tRNA-Pro". It matches the Rfam family "tRNA". Rfam says of the family: Transfer RNA (tRNA) molecules are approximately 80 nucleotides in length. Their secondary structure includes four short double-helical elements and three loops (D, anti-codon, and T loops). Further hydrogen bonds mediate the characteristic L-shaped molecular structure. tRNAs have two regions of fundamental functional importance: the anti-codon, which is responsible for specific mRNA codon recognition, and the 3' end, to which the tRNAs corresponding amino acid is attached (by aminoacyl-tRNA synthetases). tRNAs cope with the degeneracy of the genetic code in two manners: having more than one tRNA (with a specific anti-codon) for a particular amino acid; and 'wobble' base-pairing, i.e. permitting non-standard base-pairing at the 3rd anti-codon position. The record is from RNAcentral. Lineage: Bacteria; Pseudomonadati; Bacteroidota; Bacteroidia; Bacteroidales; Paludibacteraceae.